GACGAACGCUGGCGGCGUGCUUAACACAUGCAAGUCGAACGGAAAGGCCCUGCCUUUGUGGGGUGCUCGAGUGGCGAACGGGUGAGUAACACGUGAGUAACCUGCCCUUGACCUUGGGAUAACCUCAUGAAACUGGGGCUCAUACCGGAAAGGAGCUCCCGCUGCAUGGUGGGGGUUGGAAAGUUUCGGUGGUUGGGGAUGGACUCGCGGCUUAUGAGCUUGUUGGUGGGGUAGUGGCUUACCAAGGCCUUGAGGCGUAGCCGGCCUGAGCGGGUGACCGGCCACUGUGUGACAGAGAUUCGGCCCUGACUACUAGGGGAGGCGGCAGGGGGGAGUGCUGUACAGUUUGCGGACGCAAGACGGAGCAACGCGGCGUGCGGGAUGACGUCAUUCGGGUUGUCGUCCGCUUUCGGCUGUGUCGAAGAGUGAGUGACGGUAACGGGUAAAGAAGCCCCGGCUAACUACGUG
This 468-nucleotide ribosomal RNA is filed under the name uncultured bacterium. Its description in RNAcentral is "partial 16S ribosomal RNA". It matches the Rfam family "Bacterial small subunit ribosomal RNA", at positions 28 to 507 of the family's 1533-position model. The record is from RNAcentral.